GGGGAUUAUAAGGAGCAGUUUCUCAUUGAUAGCAGGAACUGUUUGCGGUAUUUACAUAGCUCAGAACUACAACGUCCCCAACAUUAACAAGCUUAUACAGAAUGCAUUAUUCAAAGCCAAAGAUGUAGAAGAGAAAUAUCGCAAACCUCCUAAGCCUGGCGAUCGUCUUUAGAUUCACUCUCCUUAUUUCAGAGCAGUUGCAUUUCCUAGAUGGCUCCAACUAAUUUUGCAAAGCUUGGUCUUUAUUCUUCGUUCAGAGUUUGGAGAUAAAUUUCCCCAAAACUUACCUGUUGCCACCUAGAACCUACAGUUUCUUGGAUUUAACCUCAGGUUAUGCUCCCUCGUAACCUUAGCCCCACAGAUCCGACUGUUGCUCUUUUAUCUCUCUUAACUAUUAGCAACAUAUUGUCUACAUAAGCCUCCAUAGUGUGUGCAUAAAUAGUUUUUAGUGUGAAUACGUUCUGUUAACAUUUCCCUGCCUUUAAU
This 486-nucleotide unclassified non-coding RNA is filed under the name Hevea brasiliensis (rubber tree). The record is from RNAcentral. Lineage: Eukaryota; Viridiplantae; Streptophyta; Magnoliopsida; Malpighiales; Euphorbiaceae.